UAUAAGUAGAAACGAUCUCGAUCGUGAAACCGCGAACGGCUCAUUACAACAGCUGUAAUUUACUUGAUCUUGACGCAUCCUACAUGGAUAACUGUGGUAAUUCUAGAGCUAAUACAUGCACCAAAGCUCUGCCCCCUCGGGGAAGAGUGCAUUUAUUAGAGCAAAACCAGGCGGCCUCCGGGCCGUUCCUCGUUGACUCAGAAUAACUCUAGCUGAUCGCAUGGUCCUCGUACCGGCGACGUGUCUUUCAAGUGUCUGCCUUAUCAACUUUCGAUGGUAGUGUAUCUGACUACCAUGGUUGUGACGGGUAACGGAGGAUAAGGGUUCGACUCCGGAGAAGGGGCCUGAGAAAUGGCCACUACGUCUAAGGAUGGCAGCAGGCGCGCAAAUUACCCACUCUCGGCAAGAGGAGGUAGUGACGAAAAAUAACGAGACCGUUCUCACAAGAGGCCGGUCAUCGGAAUGGGUACAAUCUAAACCCUUUAACGAGUAUCUAUGAGAGGGCAAGUCUGGUGCCAGCAGCCGCGGUAAUUCCAGCUCUCAAAAUGCAUAGAACCAUUGCUGCGGUUAAAAAGCUCGUAGUUGGAUCUGCGCCGGCGGGCAAGUCCCCUCCGUGUGGGGCGGCACUUGCUCCCGCCGGCUAGUUGACGGAUGGGGCCGCGCGGGGCCGGUUCGCGGCCCGCUCGCUAGCCGUCGUUUUACUUUGAACAAAUCAGAGUGCUCAGCACAGGCGUCUCGCCUGAAUGUUCGUGCAUGGAAUAAUAGAAGAGGAUUUCGGUCCUAUUUUAUUGGUUUUGAGGACUGAGAUAAUGGUUAACAGAGACAAACGGGGGCAUUCGUAUUGCUGCGUGAGAGGUGAAAUUCUUGGACCGCAGCAAGACGGACAACAG
RNAcentral lists this ribosomal RNA (890 nucleotides) under Filenchus misellus. RNAcentral's name for it is "bacterial SSU rRNA". It matches the Rfam family "Eukaryotic small subunit ribosomal RNA", at positions 58 to 945 of the family's 1831-position model. Lineage: Eukaryota; Metazoa; Nematoda; Chromadorea; Rhabditida; Tylenchidae. The record is from RNAcentral.